Molecule: long non-coding RNA, 342 nt
Filed under: Nicotiana benthamiana
Lineage: Eukaryota; Viridiplantae; Streptophyta; Magnoliopsida; Solanales; Solanaceae
Description: long non-coding RNA (NBEN_LNC020905)
Source: RNAcentral
UACAUAUUUAGGCGAUUGUAUGAACAACAUCAAUCCUGGAGUAUAGACGAGAGUCAUAACCGAGGGUUUACAGGUUGGUUUAGAGAUAACGAUACUUCGGAUGCAAUCUAAAUGAACUAUAUUAUGAAAUUAGCUAGUGUAACUUGAAAGAGUGCGUCUAGUAGAUUGUCAUAGUUACGUGAGAAAGACCUAUGAUAGCUUGAGUAUUCUUGAUUGAUAGAGAUAACCAAAUCGUAGUUAUAAGAUUUAUGCAACCAAGGAAAUCAACAAUGGGGGAAACCAUUGCCUUAGACCUUAUUCCAACUGUGCAAAAAUCAACAUUAGUUAAUUUCUAGUUUGUAC